AUUGAACGCUGGCGGCAUGCUUUACACAUGCAAGUCGAACGGCAGCACAGGGAGCUUGCUCCUGGGUGGCGAGUGGUGAACGGGUGAGUAAUGUAUCGGAACGUGCCUGGUAGUGGGGGAUAACUACUCGAAAGAGUGGCUAAUACCGCAUGAGAUCUUUGGAUGAAAGCGGGGGACCUUCGGGCCUCGUGCUACUGGAGCGGCCGAUAUCAGAUUAGGUUGUUGGUGGGGUAAAGGCCUACCAAGCCUGCGAUCUGUAGCUGGUCUGAGAGGACGACCAGCCACACUGGGACUGAGACACGGCCCAGACUCCUACGGGAGGCAGCAGUGGGGAAUUUUGGACAAUGGGCGCAAGCCUGAUCCAGCAAUGCCGCGUGCAGGACGAAGGCCUUCGGGUUGUAAACUGCUUUUGUACAGAACGAAAAGUCUCUGGCUAAUAUCUAGAGAUCAUGACGGUACUGUAAGAAUAAGCACCGGCUAACUACGUG
Molecule: ribosomal RNA, 488 nt
Filed under: uncultured bacterium
Lineage: Bacteria
Description: partial 16S ribosomal RNA
Rfam family: Bacterial small subunit ribosomal RNA
Source: RNAcentral